This 277-nucleotide long non-coding RNA is filed under the name Setaria viridis. RNAcentral describes it as "long non-coding RNA (SVIR_LNC007439)". Lineage: Eukaryota; Viridiplantae; Streptophyta; Magnoliopsida; Poales; Poaceae. The record is from RNAcentral.
GGAGAUCUUCUCAGGGUUAGCUUCAAUCCCUCGGUGACUUAUGAUGCACCCGAGUAGUUUUCUGGAGGGUACGCCAAAAACGCACUUUGUUGGGCUUAGCUUCCACUGGAAUUCUCGCAGGCUUGCGAAGGUUUCUUCCAUAUCUACAAUAAAGUCGUCAGGAUUCUGGUCUUUAGGACCACUUCAUCAACAUACGCUUCUACAUUACGGUGUAGUUGCUUUUUGAAGUACUCUUGGAUUGCCCGUUGAUAGGUAGCGCCUGCGUUUCUUCAACCCA